Long non-coding RNA from Rosa chinensis, 1386 nucleotides. RefSeq lists it as uncharacterized. The transcript is spliced from 6 exons. NCBI's taxonomy places the organism in Eukaryota, Viridiplantae, Streptophyta, Magnoliopsida, Rosales, Rosaceae. The record is from RefSeq and is a predicted model, not a curated record.
ACUAGGAUAACUAUGUGAAUGAAAAAGGACAAACAAGUAAAAUUACAAAUAAAAAAAAAAAUAAACAUAUCUAUUCAUCUUUUAUUGAAGGUAAUUCUUCAAACCCAUCUUUUACUGAACGGAACAUGCUACACGUGCACAGAGUCGAGGAAACUGGGGAAAUUGGGGCGUAGGGUUUUUGGUCGAAAUCUUCUGGAUCUCGUGGGUAGUUAGGUGGCGAUCCUUCUGGUCUCAUCCUCUCUCUCAUUGGAACCUGUUUUCUUCAUUCCCUCGUCAUGAUUUGAAGCUCGUGGUUGGGCAUAAAUGCACAGCUUCGAUGGAGAAAAUUUUGAUUUACUACAGAGUGAAAGCUUCAAUUAUAAAUCUUCUCUCUCCAUCAGUCGGUUUGGUUGGGAUUAAGAUCAAUUUGCAUCAUUUCUUUCUGUAUGAGUCGUAUCGGACAACAUCGGAGGAGAUUUGCUUCGACCCAAGCCAUGGCGGUACCCAAAUCUUAACAUGGUCUUUUUAAUAAACAUGCAAUCACCUUGGCCAUCUAUGCAAAAUGUACUUUAUUUUACCAAAAGCUAUGAAUAGAGUACUGUUGAAAAGUGUAUCAAAAGAAAGAGUUACCUUUGCUGGAAAUUCUUGGCCAUCUCUUGGAAGGUGCAUUAUACAUGUUUGCUUCAUGCAGGAUUAACAGACUGAACUCUGCGAGUUAUUUUUCUUUAAUAAGGCAAUAAUAAUGUAAUACUGAUUAUUACUGAGAAUGAAUCUUCUUCGUCUUUUUCAACAACAGUUUGUACGCUUCUUCUUUUGUUACUAGUCCUACAUGGCUUUGUCAGAGCGCUGAUCAAUCUCAAGUUGUAGACCAGUCUGGAGAGAAUGUACUCAAUUUAUUCCUCUAUUUUUCAACGACUAUAUGAAGCCCAUUGUUAAUACGAGUGAGAGCUUUGCUGCAGUUGAGACAAUCCCUCAGUUCCUGUUCUAGAGCAACAUCAAGACUAUAAUCGACAGCCACUCUAUUCUUCAGCUUCUUAUCAAAGCCAUUCUUUCCUACUAUUACUCAUGCACCACUUUAUUCCAGUUCUCAGCCUCAGGGUUAGACUUCCAGUACUCAUAGACAACUCUAUAAGAGGUUUGAAGGUAGGGAAUUGACACAUGUUCAAGGACAGUCGCCAUAUGCCUCUGGUUCUCCAUCAAAAGCCGUCUGCAUUUCUGAUCGUAAUUAGUUGUAGAUUUUAUUUCUAGGUGAAGACUUAUGAAGAGUUGAUGUUAGUUGGAAUUGGAGUUAUACUUGCAGUCUCUAUAAGUGCUCACUUUGUUCAUGUUAGUUGGAGUUGGAAAGAGUCGGUGUUAGGGCCCUGUUUAUCACUGUAUUAUCCAUAAUAAAUUUGAAUUUUUGGUCAG